This 253-nucleotide ribosomal RNA is filed under the name uncultured bacterium. Its description in RNAcentral is "partial 16S ribosomal RNA". It matches the Rfam family "Bacterial small subunit ribosomal RNA", at positions 524 to 776 of the family's 1533-position model. The record is from RNAcentral.
UACAGAGGGUGCAAGCGUUGUUCGGAAUUACUGGGCGUAAAGCGCGCGUAGGCGGCUUUGUAAGUCAGAGGUGAAAUCCCGGGGCUCAACUCCGGAACUGCCUUUGAAACUGCAUCGCUUGAAUCCGGGAGAGGUGAGUGGAAUUCCGAGUGUAGAGGUGAAAUUCGUAGAUAUUCGGAAGAACACCAGUGGCGAAGGCGGCUCACUGGACCGGCAUUGACGCUGAGGUGCGAAAGCGUGGGGAGCAAACAGG